This 5178-nucleotide long non-coding RNA is filed under the name Sus scrofa (pig). RNAcentral's name for it is "lncRNA (ENSSSCG00000062417.1)". Lineage: Eukaryota; Metazoa; Chordata; Mammalia; Artiodactyla; Suidae. The record is from RNAcentral.
UUUUUUUUUUUUUUUAAGGGCCACACCUGCAGCAUAUGGAUGUUCCCAGGUUAGGGUUUGAAUUGGAGCAGCAGCUGCCAACCUAUACCAGAGCUCACAGGAAUGCCAGAUCCUUAACCCAGUGAGUGCAGCCAGGGAUAGAACCCACAUUCUCAUGGAUGCUAGUCAGGUUGUUAACCCACUGAGCCACAAUAGGAACUCCUAUAAAUCCUAUCUUGAGUAAAAGUGGAUCAGUUGGAUAGAAUGGAUUCUUGAGGUGUAACGGAAUUCUAGUCACUCAAAGCUCCUCUAAAGUCUGUGCUUUACAAAGUGUGGUAUAUGUGCCCCUGCAGGUGUGUAAGAGGAUUUAAUUUGUAUGCAAGCAAAUAUUUUUACUACAAUUAUUCUAAAUUUAUUUUAUCGGUUAGGAAAAAUAUAAGUAAUAAACCAAAAAUAUGAUUUCACAGAUACUUCUUUAGGAUAAGAUUAAAGUAUUUAUGUUUAAUUGUUUGAGUUGAUUUACAAAAAAGUAAAUAAUAAUCUAGGUGAUAUAAAAUCAAAAUGAUGAAGAUGAGCAUAUGAAAAAAUGAAAUUAGAGAAAUGCCUCCUACAUAAUAUAUGCUGCCCUGGCAUAUCUGGCAAGAGCAGAAGGUUGGAGACCUAUUACGCUCAGUAAAUAUACUAACACACUCUGAAUGAUCUCAUAAAAAUCACCACUGUCCAGUGAUGUACAGUAGUUAGACUACAUGUAUCUACAUAAGACAUGUUUCCAUUUCAUGCUCUAUGAUGUGAAAAAAAGACUUUUUUGAUUCUCUAUGAUGUGAAAAAAAGACGUUUCUGAAUUAUGUAAGAUUUAUGUCUACUGUAAACAUUGCUCACUUUUUUGCUCUUGAUUUUAAAAAAAUGUUUUGAUGAAACUGCUAUUGAAUAUUACAAUCUAUAUAGUAUCAUGUAAAUUAUAUUAUAAUAUUGUAUUAUAGAUUCUAUUAUAUUCUUUUUGGUUUAUGGUUAUCUUUUUCCUGUCUAUUGAAUUUAUUUUUUAUUUCAUUGAAAUGUAGUUCACUUCCAGUCAUGUGAUAAUUUCUGCUGUACAACAAAGUGCAUAUAUGUGUAACUGCAUCACUUUGUUGGAUGUUUCUUUUGUCAACAUGAUCUCCUAUGUCACCAAUGUGUGUGGAAAUUCUUCUCCCUAAAGAGUACUUAAUCUUUGCUUUCUUUCCUCAAUGUCUUUGCUUGCAAGUUUUAAGCCCGAGGCAAGUAAAAUUCCAUUAAUUUCCAAGAAUGAGGUGUUGGUACUUUUCUAAUAAAGAGAGAACUUAGCUCAACAAUAACAACAACAAACCCCAACCCAGUAGCUCUCCUGGGUUAUUUUGAGGCUGAACUUUAGUUUUCUAAGGUGGAAUCUUUCUUCUUCAGCUCUACAGAGUGGCCAAAUGGAAUGUCACUGGGCCAGGAAGAAUUGUGGACCUUCCCCAGGGGGCUAGUUUAAGAUCUCAGAGGCUUUCCAGGAAUCACCAGGCAAUGUUAUGGGGGAUCAGGGUUUCUGUCGAACCAGCCUACCUAGUUUGAAUCUGGUCUGGACCCCUACCCUGGGGUUUCCUGUUCCCAUUUGAAAAAAUAAAAACUGGUGAUAGGACCCAAAAGAAACAUUUUUUAAAAGGCAUGUCAUCUAGACCUGUAACAAGUAGUGCAAUAGGACUAAAACGAAGUCUGCUGAGGCACAAGAAAGCCCUACGCAGCCACUCAGUACCCUAGGCGCAUGAGGAGGUCACUCCCCAAGCAUGGAAAAUACAGCCUUCAUGGUCCAUCCUAAAGCAUGACCACAUGUUUUAAAGUAGUGAUGGUUUGAGAAGGUAAAAGGCUCUUGGCGGUGAGCUGUGAUGUCAGAGCAAGGGUAGGAUGGAGACUGGGAGCACAGGUUAGAUCCUUGUAGGCAUCCUAGUGCCAGGCUACACACUGGGAGCCAAGAUCAGAAUGCGUGGAAGCUUGGGACUGAGGGCAGGGUCAGGAAUGGAAACCCAUCCCCAUACCAGCCCAUCAGUUAUGCUGUUAUGCUCCUGUUAUGACCUAUGUUUCUGUUAUGCUCCAGGUCCCACUCUAGGCAAAGCAGACACUUACUGGUGCCUGGUAUGCACCCUGUUACAUCUGUGUCAAGAAAAGGUGCAACACAAGAAAUGCCAACUAGACCCAGAACUGGAGAGGUUCCCUAAAGAUGCUUAAAUACAAGGGGCAGGGGACAACUCAGAGUUGAACAUCAGUGCAAGAGUCACUUGAGCUGGGGGCCAGUUGUCCACAAUAGAGGAAGACCAUGCCACCCACCCCAAACCAUGGUCCAGAACCUGCCCCAUCUGCUUGCUGCCGAGAUAUCUGCCAUCUGUCCAAGGAAGUGGGUAGGAGUCAAGGAAGCUUCAGGUACUGAUGGUACUUCCAGUGGACAAGGAAGGCAGGAGUCAAAAGGGGAGAUGCAGGAGAGGGCUCCCAAGUGAAAUAAAAAGAUCAGAUAUGAAACAUUGGCUCCAAGGAAAACUUCAACAGCCACAACCAAGUAAUUAGUGUGAUAACUCCUCUCAAAAAGCUCAUCUCAGACAUUAUAGCCUCUCUGAAACCCUGGGGUCACCUUUCUCCAGGUUUGGCUAGUUGCUCCUCUGUAUACUGUUCUUAAUCCUCAUACAACUUACUACCUCGUCCUGGUCAACUUACUCCUCUCUCUUGUAAGGACAGAAGUUAUGUCUUACUCAUGUGAGUAUUUCUAAUACCCCAUAGAGGGGGAUGGGAUUUUGGAAAGAGAGGGAGAGAGAGGUGGGGAGGUAGGAAGAAGGCAGGAGAGAGGAAGAAGGAAAGCGAAAAAUAGAGAGAUUAAGUGAAUUUGAACCCAGCUGGCAAAGCUCCACCAUAGCCAAAUCACUUGGCGAUCCCAAGGGGUGAGUUAUCAAAGGGUUUUGACUACAUUUCAAAAGUUAGCUCUCGCUUGCUAAUGCUUUGGGAGUAACUCGUGGUGCAAGCAGGGUGCUUUGCUGAAUCCAAUGUCACCCCCUCACUGCAUUAGUGUGACACUUCUUUCUCUUUCCAUGAAGACCCACCCUCCCUCUUCUUUAGAGCCAUUGUCUGCUUGACAUGAAAAAUGUCCUAUAGAAAAUGUAAUCGCUAAUGACAUCAAUGGACAAAGAUCCAACUCCCAGAUGCAGAAUGAUUAACCACGAAAACCAACUCUUCAAUAAUGAUUUUCCAGUCCUUUUAUUUUCAGCUGGCGUUGGUUUUCUGCCUGUGCAGUGAGGUUCUCCCAAGUCCCCAGAUGCUUUCACCUGAAGUCAAUGCAUAGUAAAAACCCUCUCGCAAAAGUGGAGCUCAGCAUUAGAAAAAGUUUAAGGAGCUCCCAUCACGCCUCAGUGGUUAGCAAAUCCAGCUAGGAGCCAUUAGGUUGCGGGUUCGACCCCUGGCCUUGCUCAAUGAGUUAAGGAUCUGGCAUUGCCGUGAGCUAUGGUGUAGGUCGCAGACAAGGUUCAGAUAUGGCACUGCUGUGCUGUGGUGUAGGCCGGUGACUACAGCUCUGAUUGGAUGUCUAGCCUAGGAACCUCCAUGUGCCGCAGGUGCAGCCCUAGAAAAGACAAAAAAAAAAAAAAAGAAAAAGAAGAAGUUUGAACUGCCAGUCCCCUGACUGAGCCGCUCACCUUGGUUUCCCUUCCGAGGAAGUACACAACUUCAAAUGACAUUUACUUUAAGCUCCUGAGUUUUCUUGACUUCUAAACUCUCCCUGGGCAGUUCCUGUCCUACCUCAGCGAUAACGAGACCGACUAGCAUUCCAUGAGGAUGCAGGUUUAAUCCCUGGCUUCGCUCAGUGGGUUAAGGACCCAGUGUUGCCCUGAGCUGUCGUGUGGGUUGCAGAUGAGGCUCAGAUCUGGUAUGGCUCUGGCUGUGGUAUAGGCUAGUAGCUGAAGUUGCGAUUCAACCCCUAGCCAGGGAAUUUCCAUACGCCAUGGGUUCAGCCCUCAAAAGACGAAAAAAUAAAUAAACAUAAAAAAAUAAAAUCUCCAUAGAUUUUCCUCACACCCCACCCUUGUAUCCUUCCUACUUCCCUAGGCAUUUGCAGGCGCCUGCUCACCAGUCUCGGGCCAGGCCCUGUGCUUCUAGCCUUGCACGGUGCACAUGAGCCUGUAAUCUCAAAGGUAGGAGGUGAGUGUGGCAGGAGGGCACCCUUCCCUGUUGCUCAGGACCCCUCCAUCUCUGCUAGAAAGUGGCCUGCAGGGCUCAUCUCCACCUGGACAGGUAUGGAGCCCCUAUUGGAGCCCUGCCCUGCACUAAGGUGGAGAUGGAGGCAAAGGCCAAUAGGAUGUAGGUGAUUGAGCCUCUGGGUCUCCACCUGGCAAACGCCCUUCCCUUCAAUCCCAGCUCCAAGGUCACCUCCUCUGUGAAGGCUUUCCUGCUAGGACCGCCCUCUUUGGCCCCCGGCCCCCUGUUCAUGUUUCUAUUCCAGUGCUUAUCCUGUGUUAGGACUUAAGGCAAACUAAUUAUACCCCCGCCCUCUGAUUUUGGAAUCAGUUGAGGAAUAUACAUAUGAGUUGAAGAGACGGAGCUCAGGACAUCAGCUUCCUUUACAUAUCUGAAGCUGGUGGGAGGAAAUAAUGGACCUGCUUAUUCCAUUAAAUUCCACUCCAAACGUAAGGAUGACUUUUGGUGUGUAGGUACUACUCGGGUGUCAUUUUAUUUCUCCCUGGUGCAUUUUAGGAACAAGGAGGUCAAUAUUCUUUGCCAACUUAGCUACCAUUUCAGACUCGCUAGACUCCUUUUGGUUUCCUAUAUAAACAAUAAAAGUGCAGGUCUCAAAAUAGAACAGCACACUGGAAAAUUUCCCCCACAAAGAGGGACCUAAUUGUGCAAAACAGGAGCAGGCCCUCAAGUUGGCACCCACUAGACCUAGAGACAGAAACCAGUGAUGUCACUGCUUCCCUACCUCACCCGGGCCCUUCCUAAUGCAGCCAACAGAGAAAAAAGAAAACAGAGAAGAGAGAAGCCAGCAAGAUGCCACUGUUUUAUUAUAGUAAUUAGACCAAUGUGCACAAAGCAGCUUUCAUGCUAAAUCCCAAAAGGAACUCCUGCCAGGAAAAUACAUCUUUUUCCUCCCCCACAGUCCAGAAUCUCCUGAUCCAUCUCUCCUGCUCCUAAAAUUUGAAAUGAAGUUCAGACCCAUCAUCUGGUACCUUG